CAAGAAAAUGGCCCAAUCUGCUGAUUGAUUGUGACAAGGUGAAGGUGGAGCUUUGUGCAAUCUGAGGGGAGAAUUUCAGUCAGUGUUGGAUUCACUCUCUUGAAGCAGCUUCCGCCAUGUUACUGUUAGGACUUAUCUUGUUCAGUGCAACAGCAGGUAUUAACUUGGGUAAUACAAUCACAUCAAACCAAAACCAAAGUUUCAGUGAAGAUGGAUCUAAUGUCACCUUGUCCUGUAGCUACUCUACAACAGACUCUAGUCCAGGGUUGCAGUGGUAUGUCCAGUAUCCCAGAUCAGCUCCACAGUUCCUCCUGCUUGUGCUGCACGCCACUGGGAAAGACCCGAGCCCAGGCAAACAUCCUCGCCUGAUGGGGAAACUAAACCAAGAGAAAACUCAAGUGUUUCUGCAGAUCUCCUCUGUUCAAGGCUCUGACUCUGCGCUGUACUACUGUGCAUUGGCGCCCACAGUGACACGAAACCACAGACUGCAAUACAAAAACCUGACUGACACAGAAGUUUUAACUCAACACUCACAAAAAUACUGUAAAUGUAGGAGUGCAGUUGUCAUUUCAAACUGA
Molecule: non-coding RNA, 578 nt
Organism: Alosa sapidissima (American shad)
Lineage: Eukaryota; Metazoa; Chordata; Actinopteri; Clupeiformes; Clupeidae
Source: the annotation of a RefSeq genome assembly